GACGAACGCUGGCGGCGUGCUUAACACAUGCAAGUCGAACGCUGAAGCUUGGUGCUUGCACUGGGUGGAUGAGUGGCGAACGGGUGAGUAAUACGUGAGUAACCUGCCCUUGACUCUGGGAUAAGCCUGGGAAACUGGGUCUAAUUCUGGAUAUGACAUGCCACUGCAUGGUGGUGUGUGGAAAGGGUUUUACUGGUUUUGGAUGGGCUCACGGCCUAUCAGCUUGUUGGUGGGGUAAUGGCCUACCAAGGCGACGACGGGUAGCCGGCCUGAGAGGGUGACCGGCCACACUGGGACUGAGACACGGCCCAGACUCCUACGGGAGGCAGCAGUGGGGAAUAUUGCACAAUGGGCGGAAGCCUGAUGCAGCGACGCCGCGUGAGGGAUGACGGCCUUCGGGUUGUAAACCUCUUUCAGCACGGAAGAAGCGAGAGUGACGGUACGUGCAGAAGAAGCGCCGGCUAACUACGUG
RNAcentral lists this ribosomal RNA (472 nucleotides) under uncultured bacterium. RNAcentral describes it as "partial 16S ribosomal RNA". It matches the Rfam family "Bacterial small subunit ribosomal RNA", at positions 28 to 507 of the family's 1533-position model. The record is from RNAcentral.